RNAcentral lists this ribosomal RNA (890 nucleotides) under uncultured Amphibacillus sp. RNAcentral's name for it is "bacterial SSU rRNA". It matches the Rfam family "Bacterial small subunit ribosomal RNA", at positions 28 to 882 of the family's 1533-position model. The record is from RNAcentral. Lineage: Bacteria; Bacillati; Bacillota; Bacilli; Caryophanales; Bacillaceae.
GAUGAACGCUGGCGGCGUGCCUAAUACAUGCAAGUCGAGCGCGUGAGGCUAAACUGAACUCUUCGGAGUGACGUUUGGCGGAUCGAGCGGCGGAUGGGUGAGUAACACGUGGGCAACCUGCCUAUAAGACUGGGAUAACUUACGGAAACGUGAGCUAAUACCGGAUGAAACCUCUUAUCACCUGGUAAGAGGAUGAAAGAUGGCUUUUAGCUAUCACUUAUAGAUGGGCCCGCGGCGCAUUAGCUAGUUGGUGAGAUAAAAGCUCACCAAGGCAACGAUGCGUAGCCGACCUGAGAGGGUGAUCGGCCACACUGGGACUGAGACACGGCCCAGACUCCUACGGGAGGCAGCAGUAGGGAAUCUUCCGCAAUGGACGAAAGUCUGACGGAGCAACGCCGCGUGAACGAAGAAGGUUCUCGGAUCGUAAAGUUCUGUUGUUAGGGAAGAACACGUACCAUUCGAAUAGGGUGGUACCUUGACGGUACCUAACGAGAAAGCCCCGGCUAACUACGUGCCAGCAGCCGCGGUAAUACGUAGGGGGCAAGCGUUGUCCGGAAUUAUUGGGCGUAAAGCGCUCGCAGGCGGUUUUUUAAGUCUGAUGUGAAAUCUUGCGGCUCAACCGCAAGCGGUCAUUGGAAACUGGAGAACUUGAGGACAGAAGAGGAGAGUGGAAUUCCACGUGUAGCGGUGAAAUGCGUAGAGAUGUGGAGGAACACCAGUGGCGAAGGCGACUCACUGGUCUGUAACUGACGCUGAGGAGCGAAAGCGUGGGUAGCGAACAGGAUUAGAUACCCUGGUAGUCCACGCCGUAAACGAUGAGUGCUAGGUGUUAGGGGGUUUCCGCCCCUUAGUGCUGGCGUUAACGCAUUAAGCACUCCGCCUGGGGAGUA